RNAcentral lists this long non-coding RNA (803 nucleotides) under Numida meleagris (helmeted guineafowl). RNAcentral's name for it is "lncRNA (ENSNMEG00000017899.1)". The record is from RNAcentral. Lineage: Eukaryota; Metazoa; Chordata; Aves; Galliformes; Numididae.
AUUAGACCGCGGAGUGUACAGACAGGAAGCUGAAGUAUUGAGCGCCUGACCAGAGCUUCCUCCUGUGCAAGAGUGGGGGUUUCUCCAACUUGAAUCUUUAGCUCUACGUGCACGGUCCGAGUCUUGAAGUCCAAAGGAUAGAAAGCACCCAAAUCUCUCAGCUGGGUCCUCCGAGCAUGGAGAACGGAUUGCUGCACUUAAGCCCGGCUUGCAAGAUCGUGUCUGACAUGUACGGCCGGACCAGUCAUUUCUGGCGCUCGGUUCCACUACGUGUAUCAGGAAUUGGUUCGGGUGAGCAGUCCAUAGUGCCACGCGCUGGAAGACAGCACGUGCCUCGUGCCCAGCAUCUGCAACGUGUGCCUGGUUGGAUACCUGAGCGGAGGGAGAAAGCACUGCUGGAUUUGGGACCGGCUCCAUACGUGAAGAGCUCUUUUUUUUUUUUGUUCGGUGGAGGAGGACUACGAAAGUCAACGUGUUCUGCCUGGGCUGAAGGCAUCGUGGGCUUGAUGCAUUUGAAGGGUUCAGGAGGAGGAAUCCCUGCGGGCAGUUCCUUGUCUGACAUUGCUGACAGUCUUCAUGGAUGUGACUUGAAGAGUCACUACCGCAGCAGGGCUGGGCUGCAGGCAGAUAUCUCGCUUUACGUCAGCAGUGAUCUCCUUGGUGAGCUGUGCCCCAGUGACCAGUUAGAAAAAGCAAACAAGCAGAAUGUAUUGAAUCACAGAAUCAUAGAAUCACUGAGGUUGGAGAAAAGAUCUAAGAUCAUCAGGUCCAACCAUCCACCCACCACCACUAUUGCCCACUGA